GGGUGUGGAGGGAAGGUGGCGGGCCGGGAGGAGCUGGCGCUGGGCGCUGGGCGGGCUGGGAGCGCAGGGCUUGAGCUGAGGCGGUGGCGGCGGAGGGCAGAGAAGAUGAGCAGAGCCGGCGGCCCAGGAAGCAGGAGGCUCCCCCGGAGCAGUGACGGGGCGUCUCCCGCGUCUCCCCGGGCCCGGGGCCAGCUUCUCUGCCAGCGCCCCGCUGCGCGGCGUCCAUGCGCCCCCACCGGCUCCUCCUCUCACCCUGGGAGCGCGCGAGGGCACGCGGUUCUGCGGCCGUCCGAGUGCGCCGCGCCCCAGGCUCAGCACCCGAGAGCUGUGCGCACGGCGCCUGUGCACUGCCCCGUGUUAGGAGCUCAGCCGGUAACGACAUGCCAACUACGUUCAUUCAGAAUCCGUAAGAAACCCACCACGUGCCCACGUCCGCGCGAACGGGAACUGUCGCCCAGAGCAGUGAUAGGACAGUGGCGUGGUUGGGCAUGGUUGCGACCUGGGUGCCGGGUCCUGGCUGGAGCGGCCGACUGUCCCGUCUGCCCGACCCCACAGCCGGGACAGAAAUGCUCUGCAGCUCCUCCAGAUGCCUGCGGCUUGUCUGUGGUGACGCUUGUCUGUGGCUCCCCGCGAGCUGCGACCAGGAAUCUGACCUCUUGGUGAACGCCUCCCACGCUCCGACCCACGGAAAUCUGCCCCAUCCUUGGGGUCUCCGGCCUGGCGAGGGUGUCUCAGUGUCCGCAUCGGUCGUUGGGAAAACAAUGGUUCAUUCUUUUAUCUGGAACGUCCAUAUAUUGAUGUUUCAUUUCAUAAUUUAAAUCCUUUUCGUGGGCGGGAGGUUGGGGGAGCCUGGAGGUGGGUAUUACAGAGGGCACGUAUUGCGUGGGGCACUGGGUGUGGUGCAUAAACAACGAAUUCUGUCACACUGAAAAGAAAUUAAAUUGAAAAAAAAUAAAUCAUUUUCUCAUCAGAAAAGUCUUUAAGCAUGACAGCUGCCAAGAGAUAGAAAGCUUCCGAAAUGGUCAUUUUCUCUCAAAUGUGUAGGUGUUACGGGCAAGAAGUCCUGCUCAUUCUCCUGGAAGGGACAGGCUCACUUAGGUCUUUCCUGACAAAUGUCUGCAGGUGCACAGGCCUGCGUCUCCGUGGCACGUGCCCUCCUCGGAGACGACCUGCGCGCCCUGGUGAUGCGCCCCGCCGCCUCCCAUGUCUUCACGCGGAGCACGACAGAGGUCGGCACCCAGGGUUGAGGUUCAGUACCACUCAGGACGUCCUUAGGCUGCAUCUGAUUUCCAUGAGUGCGUGGUGGGGAGGUGCCAGGGCCCUGGGGCAGCGAGCUGGCGGGCCCGUGUGGAGAUGCCGAGCCCCCGGCAGCUCCUGCACCAUCAGCACGUGCCCUCAUGGUGAGGGGUCUCCCUCGUGGCCGCCGUGGAGGGAAGCGUGCAGACCGUUCGUGUUACAGCAUCGCGGGGCGGGUUCUGUGAGGGGGCAGACACAGCCGCCACCAAGGUCACCAGAGCCACAGGGACAGCAGCUGCACCUCACCUCACACUCAGUGGAGGGGCAGGCGGCGGGAUCCGGGCUCGGACUGUCCCUAACCCAGCCUCUUUUUGGCCUAUUCAGAACACUUGCGUUCCCGAGGUGAACAUGCAGGUUUCAGUCCCCUGUGGCUCCAGGACUGCCCUCCUUACACACUCUCAUUUCCGAGGUCGCUAUGUCACUCUCUGGCGUCCGGGCCUGCUCCCAGCAGAGGGAAGGGGACCGGUAUCUAAAGCUAGAGGGGCCGAGUGAUUCCACGUCCUCCCGAAGGACCCGAGACUGGUGGAUCUUCACAGCUAAACAAGAGGCCCCGAGGGACAGAGAAGCGGAAGCCGAGGCCUUACAGUGGGAUUGACUCAGCUAGGAUCAGCACUCCUCACUCGGGGACCGAGCCAGGACACCCUGAUUGCCGGUGCAUCGCCUCAUUUAGACAUUGGGACCCAGAAAUAGAACACAAUCUACGAUACAGCCUUCUCCAGGCAUCUGGAUGCUAUUUAAAAAGAAAAAAAAAAA
Mustela lutreola (European mink) is the source of this 2049-nucleotide long non-coding RNA. RefSeq lists it as uncharacterized. Lineage: Eukaryota; Metazoa; Chordata; Mammalia; Carnivora; Mustelidae. The transcript has 3 exons. The record is from RefSeq and is a predicted model, not a curated record.